This 253-nucleotide ribosomal RNA is filed under the name uncultured bacterium. Its description in RNAcentral is "partial 16S ribosomal RNA". It matches the Rfam family "Bacterial small subunit ribosomal RNA", at positions 524 to 776 of the family's 1533-position model. The record is from RNAcentral.
UACGGGGGGGGCAAGCGUUGUUCGGAAUUACUGGGCGUAAAGGGCGUGUAGGCGGCCAACUAAGUCCGACGUGAAAUCCCCAGGCUUAACCUGGGAACUGCGUCGGAUACUGGAUGGCUUGAAUCCGGGAGAGGGAUGCGGAAUUCCAGGUGUAGCGGUGAAAUGCGCAGAUAUCAGGAGGAACACCGGUGGCGAAGGCGGGUCUCUGGGCCGAUACUGACGCUGAGGAGCGAAAGCGUGGGGAGCGAACAGG